GACCACUCUGGUGGCCUAAAAGUGGUUAGAGUGUUUACCUUAAAUGCAGAAGGUGACUGGUUUGAAUCCUGGCCAAGUCA
Molecule: non-coding RNA, 80 nt
Organism: Potamilus streckersoni
Lineage: Eukaryota; Metazoa; Mollusca; Bivalvia; Unionida; Unionidae
Source: the annotation of a GenBank genome assembly